UCUCCCUAGCCCCACCAACUCAUAGGAUUUAUGUAUGCAGUUUGUACCAAUAAAAGAUGCACCAGGGUAUUUAGUAAAUGAGGCG
This 85-nucleotide transfer RNA is filed under the name Escherichia phage T5. Its description in RNAcentral is "tRNA-Leu". The record is from RNAcentral. Lineage: Duplodnaviria; Heunggongvirae; Uroviricota; Caudoviricetes; Demerecviridae.